This 561-nucleotide ribosomal RNA is filed under the name uncultured bacterium. RNAcentral describes it as "bacterial SSU rRNA". It matches the Rfam family "Bacterial small subunit ribosomal RNA", at positions 338 to 916 of the family's 1533-position model. The record is from RNAcentral.
CCUACGGGAGGCAGCAGUGGGGAAUUUUCCGCAAUGGGCGAAAGCCUGACGGAGCAACGCCGCGUGAGGGAUGAAGGCCUCUGGGCUGUAAACCUCUUUUAUCAAGGAAGAAGAUCUGACGGUACUUGAUGAAUAAGCCACGGCUAAUUCCGUGCCAGCAGCCGCGGUAAUACGGGAGUGGCAAGCGUUAUCCGGAAUUAUUGGGCGUAAAGCGUCCGCAGGCGGUCUUGUAAGUCUGUCGUUAAAGCGUGGAGCUUAACUCCAUUUCGGCGGUGGAAACUACAAGACUAGAGUGUGGUAGGGGCAGAGGGAAUUCCCGGUGUAGCGGUGAAAUGCGUAGAUAUCGGGAAGAACACCAGUGGCGAAGGCGCUCUGCUGGGCCAUAACUGACGCUCAUGGACGAAAGCUAGGGGAGCGAAAGGGAUUAGAUACCCCUGUAGUCCUAGCCGUAAACGAUGAACACUAGGUGUCGGGGAAUCGACCCCUCGGUGUCGUAGCUAACGCGUUAAGUGUUCCGCCUGGGGAGUACGCACGCAAGUGUGAAACUUAAGGAAUUGACGG